CAGCCCUGCUGGCCCGGCUCCUCGCGGCCCCGGCCAGACCCGGCCGGACCGCCGCGGGUGCCUGGGUGCUGUGGGCGGACCUUCCUUCCCCUGAGCAGGGACCGUGUGGGGAGACGCGCCGGGACGGAGCCCGCCCCUGUUCCGGGUGGGCCAUGAUCUCGAUCUCCCGCCGCAGCUGGUGCUCCACCCCUUCCUUCUCCACCUGGGACUUGAAGAGGAUCUUCAGCGCCACCAGGAAUUUCGUGCUCUGCUCCCGUGCCAGGUAGACGCUCCCGAACUUGCCCUUCCCCAGCGGCCGCCCAAUCUCAAAGUCAUCCAGCGUGAAGGUCCGUCUGCAGGGUGGGGGGCAGAGACACACGAUGGCGGGGGCACCCCAUCAUAGGGGGGACACCCCAUCAUAGGGGGGACACCCAGCACCUGCGCCCACACAUAGUCAACACCAACCGCGGUGUCACCCACCAAUGCCCAGGGGUCACAGGACCACCGCACUGUCACCCAUGGGGUCUCUGGGAUGCCCCCCCACUGUCAUACUGCGGGUAACUGGGCCCCCCAGUGCCACUCAAAGUGUCCUUGGAGCUCCCACAAUCACCCCAAGGUCCUCAGGACACCCCACAGUGCUGCCCACCAUCACCCAGGGGGUCUCUGGGACCCCCCAACUUAUUAUACUUGGGUUCCCAGGACGCCCCACGGACCACAGGACCUCAGGACGUCCCCACUGUCACCCCAUGGAUCCCGGGAGCCAUCCUCAUUACCGCAGGGUCCCCUCAGUGCCACCCACCAUCACCCCAGGGGGCCCCAGGGCUCCCUUCCCCCCAACACCCAGGGAGUCUCUGGGACCCCACACUGUGGUCCCCAGAAGCUCCCCAGGAGCCCCCCGCUGUCACCAGGGGGGAACUGGCAUCCCCCAGUGUCACCCAGUGGGUCCCUGGCACCCCCUCCCCCAUCACCCCAGGGUCUCCAGGGUCCCACAUCCCCCCAGGGGUCCCUGUUACCCCCAGGCCCCCCAGUUCCGCCCCCACCGUCACUCACUGUGGCGGGGGAGAGGCCUGCAGGGCAAUGGGCUGCAGGGGCGCAGCUCCUGGUGGGGAAGGCUCAGCUGCGGGAACCCCCACACACACCCUGGGGGCCCCCGAGGACCCUCCCGUGGGACACAGGCGUCCAGGGACCCCAAGGUAACACCCGCGCCCCCACCAAGGGACCCAGGCGUCCGGGCGCCCCAACUCCUCCCCAUGGGGCUCUGUCCCCCGUCCCCCCCUCCCCGUACCUGGCCGGCGCUCCGGCGGGAGCGGCUCCUCGCGGCGAACCUGCGGCCCGGCCGGGGAGGGGGGUCACCCCGAGACACCCCCGCAGGGGUGGGGGACCCCAACACCCUCCCCAGGGACAGGACACCCCCCAAAAAGGGCCCGGGGGUGCCUGAGCGCACCUCCCUAGGACGGGGCCACCCCCAGGGGUCAGCGCGGUCCCAAAGCGCACGGGAACCGCCCGGAGGGUGCCCCAGGGAUGGGGCCCAGGGGACACCCCGAGACCCCCUCCCAAGGACGGCCCCCCCCCGGAGGGGUUUGGGGCACUCCGAGACCCCCCAUCCCAGGGACCGGGACACUCCAGAAAGGGCAGCGUCACCCCGAGUGUCCCCGGGGAGACACCCUGGCAGGGGAACGUGGCGGGGGAGGGGGUGUCACCUCGGGCAGGCUGGGCACGCCGGGGUCCGCGUUCUCUUUCUGCGCCAUCCUGGGGCGGGGAGGGGACACAGCGUCACCACGGGACCCCAGCCCCUCGGGACCCCCAACCACGCGGGACACGCUGUCCCUGGAUCCCCAGCCCCCCGGGAUCGCCCAGCCCCCCGAGCCCCCCGGGACACGCUGUCCCCGGAUCCCUAGUCCCCCGGGAACCCCGUUCCCCGGACCCGCUGUCCCCGGUCCCCGCCGCCGCGCUCUGCGCCCCCUCCCGCCGCCGCCUUCAAACCCGCCCCUCGGCAGGCACGCACCGCCCGCCCAUUGGUCCCCGCUGAGGACGGCCCCGCCCCCACCCGCUUUCCUCCCCACCCGCCUUCCUCCCGCCCCGCCGCGCUUACGCCGUUUCUCAUUGGCCAGCCACGCCGCCCGUCUGGCGGGCGGGGCGGGAGCUCAGCGCUGAUUGGCUGCCGGGCGGCGGCGAUCGGGCUAGACGGUUGUUGUGCGGGGGCGUUGUGAGGGGACACGGUGGUUCCCGGGGUGCGGACGGGCCGGGCCGGGGGUCGCCCUGCCGAGCAGAGAGCGGCCGUGCGGGCAGGGAGUGCGGGAAGGGGAGCGGCGGGGCUGGCGCCUCCGGCUUGUCAGAGGGAAGCUGAGGCAGCGCGGGCAGCGUGUGAACUCAGACAGGCUGCAGGUUCAAUGAGCCGCAGCGCUGGUGGAACGAUGAGUCUCUUGCAGAGCUCACGGGUGGACCUGGCGUUCAGUAAGAAUUCUCUUCAAGCCUUUCAUUUCUUUUUGUGGCUAUUGCUGCUUUACGUGAAGCACCUGAUUCCAUUGGAGCCCCUGUGUGCACAGGGGCACUUCUGCAGCGGCACCGGCGUCAGUGCCAGCGGCCGGGGCUCCUGCCCAGGGACACGGGCUCGUCCCGCCCCGCGCUGGGCAGGACACGGUGCGGCCUGCCGCGCUGGCACGGGACACACGGCGAAGAGAAUAGCAGUGAGUACGUACUUUAUCAAGAGAGUCUUGACAGUUAAUGAUGAAUCCUACUCCAGCUGUUGCCUUGUCAUGAUUUCUGGAAACCCUGGCUGUCUGUCUCUUCCCCUUUUCUGGUAAAGUUGUGGAUUUCUUGCCAGUAUGUUACAAUCAGGUGUUGAUUCUGGAGAUGUUGAACAUGCCCGAGGAAAGCUGUAAAUACAGUGAAACUGGUGAUUUGUAAAGUACAGCGACACGGACUGCAUCUCUGGUUUUCAGUACUUUGUUCUGAGUGGCAUUUGGGAAACGUAAAACAGGAAAAGCCAGCUGCAAGAAUUCGAAACUGGCUACAGGGUUAUGUUGUGGGUUUUUUAACAAAUUUAAUUAGACUCUGGAAAUAUAUUUUUUACCUUUGUAGCAUCUAUAAAAUUAACAAGAUUUGCAGAAACUGUUGUCAGCUGUAAUAGGAAAAAAAGCAAAAGUAACUUUGCCUUUGGUUCAGAGGCGGUAUUUCAGAACCAGAAAUGGAGAUGAAGCUUUGCGUGGGAGGGAGAUCAGCUCGGCACUGGGGAAGCUCCUUUUCCCAGGGUUUCCUGCAGCACAGACUCGGGCGUGGAUUCCAGAGAUUCUAAAAUGUCAGUUUAUCUGCCAGGCCCAGUGUAGAGCAGCUCGAGCUGCUGCUCCUGCAGAGGGACCGGAGCAGGAAGAGUCCCGGGCAGCUCUGCCCGCACGGCCCCGUCAGCCCAGGUUCUGGUGUUGGGUUGGUGUUCUGCACCCGCAGCUCUGGGUGAGACCCGGUCGGACGCGGUUCUGUCCCCUCGCGGUGUGACGGACGCGGCUCCGCUCCCGGGGACACGUCGGUACCUGUGACCCAGAGCUGGGCACGGCUCCGCGCUGGGACGCCUGUGCUGGGCACCAGCAGCACCUCAGACCGCUGCCAACGAGACGCCUUUUCCACUGUCGUCUCGCGGGGGUGGGGGAGUGAGGAUAAAAGUGACAAAAGCAGCUGGAUAGUUCAACUUGUUUCAGAAAAGCCCCAACAUUCCAAAGCCAACCGCAAAGCCAAACAUAUUCCUGUGCAUGCGAGUUUUUCAGGCAGUUCCGGUGGACUGGAGAGUCUUUUAAAAAAAUGCAGUAAAGGCAGCAAGCAUGGGGACCAGCAGCCAGUAACAGCAGUGAGGCAAGUGUUGAUCGGUUAAAUCAGCUCGUCUCACGUUCUGAUAAUGCUCUGUUAACUUUCCAGCUGCCCGGCAUCCCGCCCAUCGGCUGCGGCAGCUCGGCCAGCUGUGCUCGUGUCUUUGGCUGGGGUUUGCUUGUUUGGUUUUGGUUGUUGUUUGUCGUGUGUGGGUUGUUUGUUUGUUUAACCAGGACUCAAAAUGAAUGGGGCAAAAGAGAAGAAGGAGAACUGGAAAGAGCAGGCCAGGCCGGAUAGACGCUUAGAAAUAAAUAUUUAGGGGUGGCAAUGGCACUUGCCACAGUAAUUAUCCACAUUUCCUACAGGUCUAUUCUAAUUAUAUACUAAUAAUUUAUCAAUUUCUUUCAAUAAUUUCAUGAAGACAUAUGUUCAGAAAAUAUUUUAUUCUGAAAAAAUAUUCUAUAUUCGGGUAGUAUUUUCCUGUCCGCAAAGAAAAGCUGCUCUUACAGUUCAUCUUAUGAUUGUCUGGCUGAAAGACACGAUUUACAUACAAGUUUCCAGCAAAGCACAACAAGCCACAAUAAGUCACUGUUAGGGAACAGGCUGCCUUAGCUUAUCUAAUUACUGAGUAUACGGCUUCGUACAGAGCCUGGUUAUUAACGGCUGGUGUAGAACUCGCUCAGCAUAAGGGAGUUUGCCCAGCGCAGCGGUGAGCUGAGAACCCGCAGCCUUCUGUUUGUGAAGGACAAAGGGCUCAGAGCGCUCCGGACAGGGAGCUGCCGAGAGGGGAGCAGGACGGGCCUGACGGGACGGGACGGGACACACAGGGCUGGCGUGGAACCGCAAAUAACUUUUGAUCUGCAGCUGCAAAACAGGAACUUGCAGGUCAGGACUUGGACCGACGGCCCCAUCUGAGGAGAAUGAGAGAUUCCAUGGAGCAGGGAGAGCCCCGGCUCUAGUGGUUGUGCUAACACGAAUCAGCUUUGACCAGACCGAUUUUGAUAAGAAGAGAAACCUUUUAGGAACUAUUUAUAUAAUUGUAAAUAUUUUUUGAAAUAAGUUGUUUGGCAAUACAAAAACUAUGUUUUAACCUUAAAAAAUAGGUUUUCUGGUAACAUUUUGGCUACUUGAUAUUUCCAUUUGUUUCAUGGAUGAGAAUGUAAGACAGAGCUGCUGACCAGGACAAAACAAAGGGGUUUUUGUGGUGUGAUGACUUCCCGCUGUCCAACCUCAGGCUCUGCUGUGCAGAACCUCGCUGGGCUCCCCCGGCCCUCAGCGUCGCACACGGACACAAAGGGGAGAAAGCAGCUGGUUUGGGGACAGAAACGGAGAUGAAGUUUCUGUUCCUGGCCUGAAAACAGGCUCAUGUGGCCGACUUUGGGGCUCGGGAACAGGUUGAGUUGUGCGGCUCUGGGCUCAGAAAUAGAGGUCAAAUCCUGUGGUUUGGGACUGGAGAGCAGGCUCAGCAGCCGGGUUUGGGCUCAGAAACGGGCACUAAGUGAGCUGGUUUGGGGCCAAAAGCAGCAGCUUACACUCCUUAGAACAGUUAACUAAUCAAUCAUACAAACUCAGUAAUAUUUUUACAAUGUACAAUGAUGAUGUUUAAUCCCAAUAUUCAGUUUUUCGCAGCAAUUGGUUUAACAACCUUGUCAAAAGCCCGGACUGUUGGAAGCAGCUGGAGCUUGUCAGGGGAAUUAUAGAAUCAUUUGGUUUGGAAGAGACCCUCAGGAUCAUGGAGACCAACCCUAACCCACCCCAGCACUGCCCCCUGUCCUGAGAGCCUCAUGUCCGUCUGUCCAGCCCUCCAGGGCUGGUGACUCCAGCACUGCCCUGGGCAGCCUGUUCAAUGCCCCACAGCCCUUUGGGGAAGAAAUUGUUCCCACAUCCAACCUCAACCUCCCCUGGGCAACUUGAGGCCGUUUCCUCUGCUCCUGGCGCUUGUUCCUGGGGAGCAGAGCCCGACCCCCCUGGCUCCAAGCUCCUUUCAGGCAGUUCAGAGAUCAGAAGGUCUCCCCUCAGCUCCUGUUCUCCAGCUGAACCCCCAGGUCCCUCAGCCGCUCCAUCACACUUGUGCUCCAGCCCCUCACCAGCUCCGCUCCCUUCUCUCCACUCGCUCCAGCACCUCAAGGGAUGUCCUGCAGUGAUGGGCCCAAAACUGACCCCAGGAUUCAAGGUAUAACACAGUAUUCAAGAAGUACUGUUGAGCCUGACGCCAGCUCUUGCUCAGUUAGAAACAACCCAAGGUCUACUUCUCUGCACAGCUCUGUGUUUCCUCUUCAGAUUCUGUCAUGAGGAGUCCCCAGAGCUUCUCUCUGAGGACCUCCCUGGGUCUGAAUAACCGAGGAACAUCUCUGUAUCUGCCCAGAACCCAGGGAUGGAGGCACGCUGCUUUGGCGGCCCUGCCGGAGAACAAGCUCACCUGGGUGCUCGCAGGUCACCCGAGGCCUCUGCUAUGAGGCGGUUCACGACACCACCGGGCAAGCAGCCGUCCUCUCCCUGCAAGGCACGCUCCAGCUCCCGGUGUGUGUCCACCCGGUCGCCCUGGGGACAGACCACAAAGGGCAGCGAUGGGACUCGCUUUGCCCUCGUUCCCAGGGAGCCACCAGGGACCCACUGUCCUCCAAACCAUCUGUGGGACACGGGCACGAGGCACGGGCUGCAGGCAUCGCGUCGGGAGAGCCACGGGCAACGGCAAGAUCUUCUGCGGCAGCUCUGAGACAAGCAGAGAGCCAGGGAGGGACACGGACCCCACCAGGGGAAGAGGCCGUGGGGGUCACUCCUGAGGACGGGGAAGGUGGCGGUCAGACGGAAGGUGCCAGGCGGGCAAGGGGAGGGCGUGGGGACCAGCCCCUGCCCCGAGGAGGAGAAGCCAUGAGCACCCUGCACCCGGUGUCGCUCCUCGCACAGGCAGGAGCCCCGGGCUGCUGGGACAGCUCCAAACCAAAGCUCAGGAGGGGCCUUGGGUAGCUGGGGAAGGGCGCUGGGGAGAAGCUGGGGCUGACGGCAGAGGCCCUGCCCUGCCCGGGAGAGAGCUGAGAGCUCCUGGGGACAGGAGGGAGGCAGCAGCGACAUUAGUCCCACCUGAGCGGCAGGAUCAGCGCUUGGGGACACAGCUUGCGGGGCAGAGAUGGCGUCAGACAAGAUCCCUCCUCUGCCGUGGAACCUCUUGUGUUUGAACCCAUUAACCCCUUGUCCUCAUUGGUUGUCACCGAGAAGAGCCUGGCUCCAUCCUCCUCACACUCACCCUUUAUAUAUUUGUAAACAUUAAUAAGGUCACCCCUCAGUGUCCUCUUGUCCAGCUCCAGAGCCCCAGCUCCCUCAGCCUUUCCUCACACGGGAGAUGCUCCACUUCCUCCAGCAUCUUGGUGGCUGCGCUGGACUCUCUCCAGCAGUUCCCUGUCCUGCUGGAACUGAGGGGCCACAGCUGGACACAAUAUUCCAGGUGUGGUCUCCCCAGGGCAGAGCAGAGGGGCAGGAGAACCUCUCUGACCUACUGACCACCCCCUUCUAACCCACCCCAGGUCCCAUUGGCUUCCUGGCCACAAGGGCCCAGUGCUGGCUCAUGGUCACCCUGCUGUCCCCAGGACACCCAGGUCCCUUUCCCCUACACUGCUCUCUAAUAGCUCAUUCCCCAACUUACACUGAACCUGGGGUUGUUCCUGCCCAGAUUCAACACUCUGCACUUGCCCUUGUUCUAUUUCAUUAAAUGUUUCCCCACCCAGAUUUGCCCAGACUAGAUGAUCUUUCGAGGUCCCUUCCAAUCUCUAACAUUGGGGGGGGGCGGGGGGGGGGGGCGGUGCCGGGCGCGUGGGGGGAGGGGGCGGUGGCGGACGCGGACGGGAUUGGCUCCUGCGCGGGAUGGGCGGGGCCACGCUGCAGAAGCGCGCGGGCCGAGGAGCGCGUGCCGCGGUGCGGCGGCGGGAGCAGCGCGCGAGGAGCGGCGGGGCCGGCGAAGAGGCGGUUGACCUGCAAUUCCAGAGCGAGGAGAAGCAGAACUUGGCAUGGCCUCUGAAAUCCUCCUUUAAUCUGGGCUCAGGUUCAGAAUACUGGGAAUUCCAAGCUUCAAGUUUCCUGUGGAACGUUGCGGGAGACCUCGAUAACGUGGCACUGAGGGAGCACCUGACCGAACGGAGGAGCAAGUGGACGGGAAGUUCCUGCACCACACACAGAUCACAUUUAUCGCUCUCGCCCUCAGAGACCCGGAGAUCCAAACCGUUCGCAUGGUGCCUUGAAGCAGCCUGUGCUCAUGCGCUUCUCCAGGGGGAAGGCGGAAUGGCAGUGACUGGCCACAUUGAGCCACAGGGUGCACACUCUGCAGCUGUCAAGCCCAGCUCUGCGUCAGCUCACACCUGCACUUUUUCACUGCACAUGCAAAUCUGAGUUGUCGCUGGUUGUCGCAGCGUUUGGCUUUGGUGAGGACAGCGUGUGUUUGUCAGCAGUUGGUGUAGGUGGAAUCUGGAGGAGAAAGCGAUAUUUCCGUGCCAGAACUGGUUGGUGUUUGCAUGGUAUUGUGCCGGUUGUUCCCGCAGGCGAUCAGUGCUGGAGUGUUAUUGCAGGAAAGGGGAUUUUGGAGGCUUGUCUGUGAGAUGCACCAGAGGCAGCAGCUGAAAGCGAAAGGCUGAGAUUUGGAGGGUUUGUGGGUGGUUUUGGGCGGUUGUCAGCUGAAGAGUUGGCUGUUUGCAGGUGAGGUGUAGGGCAGAGGGUGAAGCUGACUUUGCCUGGGCGGCGCAACUGGCUGGGUGUGCAGAGCUGAGGAGAGCGGGCUGCUGCGGGUGACCCUAAAGCUGGAGAACCGGCCGGCAGCUCCAGAGGCUCCCGCUGCCGGGCAGGGCCGUGCAGGCCAGUGCCCUGGGGCACAGCGACGUGACCUCCGCAAGGACCAAAGAGCAGGUGGAGCAGCGUGCGAAGGAAAAAGGAAGCAGAGGAAGACGGUGAGCCUGCGAGGAAGAGUGUAGCGAGUCUGGCGUGGACUCACGGGGAGCAGCGUGCAAAGGAAAAGCGAGGAAGGAGGCAGAGUGAUGGAUACAGAGGGUUGGAGCGCACCUGCCGGCCAGGAGGGAUCAGGGAAGAAGACACCGGUGGUGGAACCGCAGGUCAGGAUUGCUCAAGGAGGGAGAAAGGUGGUGGUACAAUCGACAGGAGGGAUUUGGAAGAAAUUCCCCCCGGUUGUAUUUUGUGACACUGGAAAAGGAUCGUUUGACUCGCUGGGGAACAGCAACCAGGGGAAUCUGAUUGAAUAUUGUAAUUAAUGGUGGCCACUGUAAAUAAUAUUAACAUGCUGCACAGGUCUAGGUGGGUAUACUUGGAGAUGUGUAGUAUAGUACCGCACUACAUGUAAUAUAUAAUAAGAUGUAUAUUUUAAAUCACAUAUUGCUUAUUACAUAAUGUGUAUUACACAAUACAUAAUGUUACAUAUGCAUUGUAUUUAUCCCCGUCAGAUCCAUUUGUUUUGAAAAAGGAUAAUCAGAAGUUGAAACCAGUAAAAGGUUUGUUGAAGAGCAGCUAUUGGUGUAGAGUACACAGAGCACACGGGAUCAGAACUGUCCCGCGGUCGGUCCAGGGUGGCAUCCUGAUGUCCUUACAUCGGGGACAGGCUGCAUUGCUAUGGACGGUGCAUUUCAUACGGGAUUAGACGCGCUGUGCCUAAAGCUGUAAAUACGCCAAAACCUUCUGAGAUUAAACAGGAUCGUGAGGAGUCUCCCACUGAGUUUUUACACCGUCUUAAACCGACAGCUCAGAAAUAUAUUAAUAUAGGUCCUGACCUGGAGAACAGAGAAAUAGAAUUCUUAGUUGACUGGGUGCUCAUUAUUCAGUGUUAAACACUGUGCAGGGAAUAUUAAGUAGCGAUUCUGUAACAGUUAUGGGUGCCACAAAAACUGCAAAACACGGCCCUUUAACCCGCUGCUUAGAAUGUUUGUGUGUGGAGCGUGGUACUUAUUGAUUGUGUGCCGUGUGUCUUCUCUUGUGCACAACGAAUGGUUGACAGAAGCUUUAGUGGUGCAGUGGCUGUGCAGUUACACGCUGCUGUGGCUGCAGUUGUUGAACAAAGAAGGGGAGAUGUGGCCGGGUUGUGACAUCAGUUGUGAGAAACUGCAAGAGUCACAGCGUGAGAACAAGCGCUGGUGGAACAACACAAGCAGCAAAGACUGUGUGGGACAUGAACUGUCAGGGACAGAGGGAUUGAUACGGGAUUGGGACAUCAGGGACAGGGAUUGAUAUGGGAUCGGUACAUCAGGGACAGGGAUUGAUACGGGAUUGGUACAUCGGGAACAGAGGGAUUGAUACGGGAUCGGUACAUCAGGGACAGGGAUUGAUACGGGAUUGGGACAUCAGGGACAGGGAUUGAUAUGGGAUCGGUACAUCAGGGACAGGGAUUGAUACGGGAUCGGUACAUCAGGGACAGAGGGAUUGAUACGGGAUUGGGACAUCAGGGACAGGGAUUGAUACGGGAUUGGGACAUCAGGGACAGGGAUUGAUAUGGGAUCGGUACAUCAGGGACAGAGGGAUUGAUACGGGAUUGGUACAUCGGGAACAGAGGGAUUGAUACGGGAUUGGUACAUCAGGGACAGAGGGAUUGAUACGGGAUUGGUACAUCAGGGACAGAGGGAUUGAUACGGGAUUGGUACAUCAGGGACAAAGGGAUUGAUAAACAGGGACAGGGGUUGAUACGGGAUUGGUACAUGAGGGACAGAGGUUCGUGAUGUUUCAAAUGCAAACCUGAGUUUGUAUUAAAUGUCUCUUCGCAUCUCAAAGAGUGUCUGUGCCUCACUUGCUACACCCCUUUAUCUGUUUCCCAAAUUGCGAUUUAAACUGUAUUUACCAUUGUAAAAAUAAAGCUUUCCCCCCUUAAUUUUUGUCACAUAUUGUAAUUAGAAUUAAUAGACAUAUUGAAGCCCGUCCUAGCUGAACUGGAGAAAAGACAGCAGCCAUGUGUAUUUUUAAAUAAAGAGUAAAUCAAGUCUGCUA
This is an RNA transcript of Columba livia (rock pigeon), 10743 nucleotides long. RefSeq lists it as uncharacterized. Lineage: Eukaryota; Metazoa; Chordata; Aves; Columbiformes; Columbidae. The transcript is spliced from 8 exons. The record is from RefSeq and is a predicted model, not a curated record.